UGGGUUGUAGGUCAGUGGUAGAGCACUUGCCUAGCAUGUAUGAGGCACUGGGUUCAAUACUCAGCACCACAU
RNAcentral lists this transfer RNA (72 nucleotides) under Marmota marmota marmota (Alpine marmot). It matches the Rfam family "tRNA". From Rfam's summary of the family: Transfer RNA (tRNA) molecules are approximately 80 nucleotides in length. Their secondary structure includes four short double-helical elements and three loops (D, anti-codon, and T loops). Further hydrogen bonds mediate the characteristic L-shaped molecular structure. tRNAs have two regions of fundamental functional importance: the anti-codon, which is responsible for specific mRNA codon recognition, and the 3' end, to which the tRNAs corresponding amino acid is attached (by aminoacyl-tRNA synthetases). tRNAs cope with the degeneracy of the genetic code in two manners: having more than one tRNA (with a specific anti-codon) for a particular amino acid; and 'wobble' base-pairing, i.e. permitting non-standard base-pairing at the 3rd anti-codon position. The record is from Rfam by way of RNAcentral. RNAcentral also lists the same sequence under 1 other name. Lineage: Eukaryota; Metazoa; Chordata; Mammalia; Rodentia; Sciuridae.